CUGCUGAGAUUUUUAAUGUGCUCCACAAGGUCAGCACAGAACUUGUAGCCACCUUUGAGUACACAGAGAACGACAAUAUCAUUGUCUCCAAUGUCUUGCAUAAUAUCUUUAGCCAGUCGUUCUGUCCUGUCAACAAUAAUGCCAUGAGGAAUAAGCACAUAUUCCAGAUCUCCAUAGUAAUGCUGUGGAUAAGUGAACAAAUCCAGACUAUAUCCAGGCCAAUCAUCUGAAAUCACAACGCCGCGGCCUCCACCUCCCCGCGCCGCCGCGCCGUUCCCGGCCAUCUUCCUCCGAGCCCGCCCGAGGGGCUGCGGCGGGGCGGAGCCGAGCAGGGCCGGGCCGUCCGGUGCCCCCGGUCCCCGGCGAGAGGUGGACGGCCGAGGGAGAGGCCGGGAGCCGGGGCUGAGGGGCGCGCCCCGGAGUAGGCCGCGGAACUGGGGGUGUGCGUCCCGCUCAGCCGUCAGCGGCCUUCAGAGAGGAAGUACUGUGAUGCAUACAUUAAAAUGCGUGCCGUUCUGAGUGAGGAAGCGGCAGCGCGUGCAGAGCUUUGUCUACAAAAGGCAGUUGGAGAUGGAAGGCGCCUGGAACUGUCUAAAGCUCGAGGAGGGCAUUGCUGCUGGCGGGAGCGAGGCGUCGUGCUGGAGAUGUGGGCACAAUGUGAUAAGGGGCCCGGGCUGAAUGAGCGAGGUGGAUAAGAUUAAAGUGGUGUGGCUUAAACGGACAGUCUAACAGGUCUGCGCUUAUACUCUAGAGAAGGAGAAAAACAAACAAACAAAAAACCCUGUCAUCUAUCUUGUUUUCCAUCUUUGCUGACUUCUGAGCUGGUGCUCCUCCCCAGCACUGCAUAGGUGUUGGAGUAAGUGGCGUCUUCAGGAACUGGACUCGAGGAUCGUUAUGGGUCCCUUCCAAUUCGGUAUAUUCUAUGGUUCUCACUGCCUUCAGCCCACUGCAGCAUUUCCCAUGCUGUGUGUUUUCAUUAGAAGGGGAGCAGAACAGGAGCCACCCACCUGCCUUCCCUCUUCUGCUUCUCUAGAACUGUAUAAUGCUGUCCUUUCACACUCUUACAGAUGAGAAGGAUCUUGCAUCCUUGAGGUUGCUCUGAGCAUUGUGCACCUUUAAGUUUCCUUUUUGCAUCCCAUUGUGUGGGGAAAAUCCUAACAGUCCCUCCAUCCAGUGCAAGUAGUUACAGGGUUUUUUUGAAAGUAUUUUAUUUUCCUAUAAGUGAGAUUUGGUUAUAUUUUACAGUAUUUAUCUGUUAAAUAUAGAACUUACAGAAUUCUGCCACUCCUAUACUAGCAAAUAUUAAAGGAAUAAAAAGUUGGUUUUAGAGACCUGGGCAUAAUGAAAUGUGUUUACUUUGACCUGAGCAGCUAUUACCAACCAGACCAAGCAGGAAGACAUUUUAGUUUGUGCACUGCUUUCUGUAAUACAGUCCUAAAGACUCAGAGGCCCCAAGUCAUAACAGAUGGACCCUGACAACUGGGUGCAUCAGGCAAACCAGGAGCCUGGUGUCCAACAUGGGUUGCUUUUUAGGUGCAUGUUACUUCGUUCCCACUUGCAUUAGAAGUGAUAGGACAGCUAAUAGCUUAGGAAUCUGGUGUUAAGGAUAUUUUUAUGAAUGAAUCUACAAUUACAGUCUGGAUAAGUACUACAGUAACUUAAAAUGACCUUGUUAUAGAUGCUUUGGUCUUAUGUGAAGUCAAACCUGGUUGCCUCUUAGUGGGUUAAGGACCUACUCUUAACUAUUGCUACAACUGACAACAUGUGUCCAAGAACAGAGGUUUACAAAGUGACACAGGCCAACUCCAGAAUGUGUCUGUCUUGGAAGUGAUCCCUGCAUACCAAGACUGAAGUAUCCUGCAAAAAGAUGGUCCACAGUGCAUUAAAAUAAACUUUUAAAAAGUUAGUGAAUUUGAUAAAGAGCAUAUAAAGAUUUGCACAAGCCCACAUACGUAGAUUAAAUAAAGUUAUUUUCAUAAAAUAUAUAGGAGAACUUCAUAAUGGGCAAAAUCCCUAAAUACUUCUGUAUUUCGAUUGCGUAUCAGCAUUUCAUAGAUCUAUUCAGAAAUAAAGUCCAAUUUUUCAUCUAAACUUUGGGAUUAAACACCACUGAUUUGUACCCACAAGCACUUUUCGAGAUCUGAAGAUUCUUCUCGCUUGGAGGUGGGCAAGAAUCCCUUCGCCAUCAAGCAAAUGCAACAUGAUUUAGUUAAUAUCACGACAGACAAAGCUGCUAUUGAAUAAACAUCACAGAUCUAAGCUGUAUCAUUUUAAGCAAGUUAGAUUGCAAUUGGGAUUACAAAUUAUUUUGCCAUUGCUGAAUUCCUACUGGUUACUUCUACCAUUUGGACUAGUUAGGCUACUAUUGCAGAGUUUUCUGUCUUUUCUUAAACCAUGUUCUUUAUCCAUCCACAGGAAUACAAAAGAUUGUUCUAACUACAUCACAACAGACAGAACCCCGCAGACAGAAGUUUAAAGAUUUGGAAAACAUUAUGAAAAAGAUACUAAAAAAUGAAUUCCUCCGGCAUUGUGCAGAAAAACAUAAGCAGGAAACAUUUGUUCUUCCCGUUAGGGUUGGAUGACUGCAUUUUGUCAAGUCUUCUGGUAUACUUCUCUUCCAAGAGUUUUACAGGGAUCACUUCUGAAGUGUAAUGAAGUGUCAUGUCUUGUUAAUAACAAUAAAUCAGAACAUGGAAAUGAAAAACUAGAUAAAAUUAGCUGGGUCAUAGUUGGAAAGGUAGUGCUGCUAUCAACAACCACCAGUCCAAUCCACCAAGCUGCUCUUUCUGCAUGUAUCAUGAUUUGUUAGCACAAAACGUAAUACAGGUUUUUUAGUCUUGUUGCAAAUGUGACAAAUUAAUGGUUCUGUAAACCCAUAGAAUGAAUAGUAGAAUUAAUAAGGUUCUUUGUGCAUGACAGGAAUUAAUCUGCUAAGAAUGCUGCUGUUGAGGUAUAUAUACUUACUGAAUGAUUACAUUGUUUUUCUACAGUAUGAACUGAUGCAGAAUGAAUUAAUUUACAAUAGAUUUUCAAAACUUUAAAUUAGGGUCAAAAUAUGACUAUUUAAACCAUGAUGUUAGGAUUUUAACUGCUGAAGAACUUUCCUACUAUGUUUCUUUAGCUGUUUGUUUAUAAACUAAAAAUAGGAGAAAAAGAGUAAACACUUUGAGACAUACAACCAUGGGAAACGAUCAAAGGGGAAAAGAACAAAGAAAAUAGGGUAGAACAGUGAACUCAUAGUAACAAGUAGGUCUGGACACAUAGCCAAAAAACAUAAAGUAGCAGAUGGAAAAAGUGACACCCAAAGAAACAAAGCAGAGUUUAGAACAUAUAUACAAAUCCCUUGUGAACAGUAUUUAUAUCUUGAGCCUUCACAGAACUAAAUUUAUAAUUUCAGUUACACAUCCUUUCCUCUCUUACUCUGUUACUGAUGAAGGCAGCAUAAGUAUCCACCCUUCCACAACUAUAACAUAAAGAAAUACUGAAAACAGGAGGCUGGGAGCAGGGGUAUAAACAAGAAAACAGCCAAAGACAAACAUUAUCACAGGGUUAUCUGUUAGCCUUAGAAAUUCCAUUAUGUAUUCCCCUCCCAAGAAGCCAUAAUAAACAUUUGAAAACACAAUUUAAUAUGUAAACACCAAAAAUAAACAAGAAAAGCAUGAAAAUCCAGAAUAUUUCAAGUUAUAGGUUACCUAGGUAGAAGCUUGCCAAUUAGAGGAUGAAGAAAGAGCUCUUAUUUCUUGCUCUGCCUGUUGCUGCAGCUGUUAUGUGAAUAGCAGUACUGUAAGCAAUCCUAUGAAGCAUAAAGUGGCAUUUGCUAGUUGUUAUAAGUGAUCACCACCACCACUGCCACCCCAAUUACUUACCUUUUAGGUUAAAUGCUCACUGAAGACAAUAUUAAAAACAAAAGUUUAACAGACACAGCACUUCAGGGUAUGCUGAAAACAAUUCAGAGCUGCUUUCAUAUCCAGCUUUAUCAUAUUCCAGAAUUUUGAGUUCUUUUGCAUUACCUGAGGCAGCUACUCAGUCCACAGGGUGACUGCUGAAGACCUGGAGGGCAGCAAAAAACUAAUCACCAGAUGUUACUAAUGUCUGUGAGAACGUAAAGCAGCAUUUCAAACCACCCCCUGCAUUCAAGAGCCCAGGGAGAUCACAGCAUCCUACAAUCUAUAGCAGCAUAGGUGCUCUACUUCCCUUUGUGACUACUGCGCUAUAGCAGCUAAUGGAGUGGCACUGCAAGCUUCUGUCUGUGCUCAAAUUCAGCAGAAUGAACAUCUUUGGUAACUGGCAAAUUCAGCUUUAUAGCACUUGCAGCAUCUAAGAUCCACCAAUGGAACUCAGAGCACUUAGCUAUCACAGUUAACCAGUACUGAGUCUACAAGACUGAUGUAGGCUUUGAAUAAUUUGAAUAAUUUGUAUACCAUUAAAAUGGUUAAAAGCUGACAUUCAGAUGUUAGUCUGUUUUUUAAUGACCUUUAAAUCUGCGUUAGGUACUGCAUGACAGAAUUCGUGACUCUGACUUAGUUGGUCCAUGAUAAACAUCUUUAAUACAAAACUACGUUUUUGUUUGUUAUUAAUCUCACUGUGCCAGCCUAGAGCAACUAGAUCUUCACUCUGUAAUUUCCUGGCUCCUGAAGAUACUCAUCCUGCUCUUCAGGUUCAUGUUAUUAAUACACAGUUCUUUAUAGCUG
Molecule: long non-coding RNA, 4691 nt
Filed under: Gallus gallus (chicken)
Lineage: Eukaryota; Metazoa; Chordata; Aves; Galliformes; Phasianidae
Source: RNAcentral